CUACUCUCCACCACAGAAGAUACCGUGAUGAUGAAGGUGGUUCUUCCAGAGUGAGGUUCACCAUUGCACUCUGAUGGUGCUGUCCUCUAUAACUAACACAAGUGUGUUGAGCUCCAGUGCGAACUUUUUGUUAGCAAGGGAUUGCGUUCGUGGUAUCCUUUU
Cherax quadricarinatus is the source of this 162-nucleotide small nuclear RNA. RefSeq annotates it as U1 spliceosomal RNA. The record is from RefSeq and is a predicted model, not a curated record. NCBI's taxonomy places the organism in Eukaryota, Metazoa, Arthropoda, Malacostraca, Decapoda, Parastacidae.